CAGCGCGUGCCUGGGGUCACCCGCACCGAGGUCGGAUACAGCCAGGGCGCCUUCCACGACCCCACCUACGAGGACGUCUGCACCGGCGCCACCGGCCACAACGAGGUCGUCCGCGUCCAGUACGACCCCGCCGCCUGCAAGUUCGACGACCUCCUCGACACCUUCUGGGCGCGCCACGACCCUACCACGCCCAAUCGUCAGGUCCGUUGCGACUCCGCCGCACAGCCCUGAUUGCUCAUCCCCUCAAUUUCGCUGUUGAUUCCUUUUCUGUGGUUCAGGAGUUGGGGGGAAUUUCUGCACAUUAGAAAUUUGUUGCUACUCAGAAAAUAUGUUUGAGAUUUUUUUUUGGAAAUUGCUUAGUUAAUUCUCUAGACAGAAACAAUUUAUUUCGAAAUUGACAAACAGAAAACGGACAAAAAAAAUUAAUAAUCGUCGCCUGAGAGAUUCGAACUCUCGCGGGGAAACCCCAUGUACUUAGCAGGCACACGCCUUAACCACUCGGCCAAAGCGACGCUUGUGUUCUUCCUGUCAUCAGUUCUACACAGCCAGAUGUAAGCUAAACACAUGCACUGUACACUCAUUAUCGGACUUUUUUUAUAAUAACGGAUUUAGGCAACCUUAAUACAGAGUUGUUAGUGCACUUGUGUUACAAACCGAUGUGUACAGCCUGCGAUUGUGUGUAUAGUAGAGGUCUGCAAACUUGUUGCCCACCCUUUACAUUUUGAGCUGAAUAGGCAUAAAACCAGCCACCGGCAUUGUUCCUAACACUCUUCAGUGGUUAGUACCACAGUGACAGUGGUAUUGUCAUUUGCGCAGUUUUGCGUUAAGCUAAUCAGUGUUAUGAGAGUGGUGGUAAUCUUGGCCGUAAGGCUCAGCUGCAGAAUCCAUUUGGUAUGAAGACACCAUGACUGAUCAGUCAUUAUACCUGUUGGUGCCCUUUGUUAAGUGGAGUAUAUUUUAAACUAGCCCGUAGCCUUUUGAACUAUAGUACAGAAGCUUUUCAACCUCUGAUUUGAACUUACUUGAAGCUCAUUUGAUUGCAAGCAACGGAACUUGCUUCUGCACAUUUGUAGCCCAUUUCUCAAGGAUUUUCAUAGGAAUUUUAGAGGAUUGGAAUCCUUUGGAUUUUCCCUAGGUUGGUCAUUUGAUUCAUCGGGUUAAAUCCUUGGAAUUUUUCCUAAGGAUUCCUUUGUACUGCAUAGGAAUGUUAGCAUCCACUCACAAAUCUAUUGGUAACAUUCCUUUGUUUUUACUGUGAUGCUAUCAAAGAAACCAAAAUCCUGUACGAUUCAAAUGGGCAUGACACUGCAAUCGUAUGUUUUUUCUAUUCAUGUGUUUUUGGAAUUCUGCUAAUCAAAGAGGCCCUGUUUCCGACAAACCGCGACACGUCAGUUCCUUUUCUUAAAGGUUCAUUACUUGUGUUUCUGAUCACAUACAUUUCUGAAAUAUGUGCACGCAGGGGGGCGAUGUCGGAACCCAGUACAGGUCAGGGAUCUACUACUACACCCCGGAGCAGGAGAAGGCGGCGCUCGAGUCUUUGGAGAAGCAGCAGAAGGUUCAGAACCGGAAGAUAGUCACUGAGAUCCUCCCGGCGAAGAGGUUCUACAGGGCGGAAG
This 1616-nucleotide long non-coding RNA is filed under the name Hordeum vulgare. Its description in RNAcentral is "long non-coding RNA (HVUL_LNC001599)". The record is from RNAcentral. Lineage: Eukaryota; Viridiplantae; Streptophyta; Magnoliopsida; Poales; Poaceae.